This 424-nucleotide ribosomal RNA is filed under the name uncultured bacterium. Its description in RNAcentral is "bacterial SSU rRNA". It matches the Rfam family "Bacterial small subunit ribosomal RNA", at positions 355 to 796 of the family's 1533-position model. The record is from RNAcentral.
UAACGAAUCUUCCGCAAUGCACGAAAGUGUGACGGAGCGACGCCGCGUGGAGGACGAAGUUCUUCGGAAUGUAAACUCCUGUCAGGGGUUCGAAAGUUCUGAUCAACCCCAGAGGAAGAGACGGCUAACUCUGUGCCAGCAGCCGCGGUAAGACAGAGGUCUCAAGCGUUAGGCGGAAUCACUGGGCUUAAAGCGUGUGUAGGCGGAUGCCUAAGUACUUUGUGAAAUCCCACGGCUUAACCGUGGAACUGCUUGGUAUACUGGGUGUCUUGAGCCAACUAGGGGCAGUCGGAACUAACGGUGGAGCGGUGAAAUGCGUAGAUAUCGUUAGGAACGCCAAUGGUGAAAACAGACUGCUGGGGUUGUGCUGACGCUGAGACACGAAAGCCAGGGGAUCAAACGGGAUUAGAUACCCCCGUAGUCC